GAUGAACGCUGGCGGCGUGCCUAAUACAUGCAAGUCGAGCGAACAGACGAGGAGCUUGCUCCUCUGACGUUAGCGGCGGACGGGUGAGUAACAUGUGGAUAACCUACCUAUAAGACUGGGAUAACUUCGGGAAACCGGAGCUAAUACCGGAUAAUAUAUUGAACCGCAUGGUUCAAUAGUGAAAGACGGUUUUGCUGUCACUUAUAGAUGGAUCCGCGCCGCCUUAGCUAGUUGGUAAGGUAACGGCUUACCAAGGCGACGAUGCGUAGCCGACCUGAGAGGGUGAUCGGCCACACUGGAACUGAGACACGGUCCAGACUCCUACGGGAGGCAGCAGUAGGGAAUCUUCCGCAAUGGGCGAAAGCCUGACGGAGCAACGCCGCGUGAGUGAUGAAGGUCUUCGGAUCGUAAAACUCUGUUAUUAGGGAAGAACAAAUGUGUAAGUAACUAUGCACGUCUUGACGGUACCUAAUCAGAAAGCCACGGCUAACUACGUG
This 497-nucleotide ribosomal RNA is filed under the name uncultured bacterium. RNAcentral's name for it is "partial 16S ribosomal RNA". It matches the Rfam family "Bacterial small subunit ribosomal RNA", at positions 28 to 507 of the family's 1533-position model. The record is from RNAcentral.